GACGAACGCUGGCGGCGUGCCUAAUACAUGCAAGUAGAACGCACAGUUUAUACCGUAGCUUGCUACACCAUAGACUGUGAGUUGCGAACGGGUGAGUAACGCGUAGGUAACCUGCCUGGUAGCGGGGGAUAACUAUUGGAAACGAUAGCUAAUACCGCAUAAUAUUAAUUAUUGCAUGAUAAUUAAUUGAAAGGUGCAAUUGCACCACUACCAGAUGGACCUGCGUUGUAUUAGCUAGUAGGUGAGGUAACGGCUCACCUAGGCGACGAUACAUAGCCGACCGGAGAGGGUGAUCGGCCACACUGGGACUGAGACACGGCCCAGACUCCUACGGGAGGCAGCAGGAGGGAAACUUCGGCAAUGGACGAAAGUCUGACCGAGGAACGCCGCGGGAGGGAAGAAGGGUUUCGGAUCGUAAAGCUCUGUUGUAAGAGAAGAAAGGGUGUGAGAGUGGAAAGUUCACACUGUGACGGUAUCUUACCAGAAAGGGACGGCUAACUACGUG
Molecule: ribosomal RNA, 505 nt
Filed under: uncultured bacterium
Lineage: Bacteria
Description: partial 16S ribosomal RNA
Rfam family: Bacterial small subunit ribosomal RNA
Source: RNAcentral